This 468-nucleotide ribosomal RNA is filed under the name uncultured bacterium. RNAcentral's name for it is "partial 16S ribosomal RNA". It matches the Rfam family "Bacterial small subunit ribosomal RNA", at positions 28 to 507 of the family's 1533-position model. The record is from RNAcentral.
GACGAACGCUGGCGGCGCGCCUAACACAUGCAAGUCGAACGGAGUCAAGAGGAGCUUGCUUUUCUUGACUUAGUGGCGAACGGGUGAGUAACGCGUGAGUAACCUGCCCUGGAGUGGGGGACAACAGUUGGAAACGACUGCUAAUACCGCAUAAGCCCACGGAUCCGCAUGGAUCUGCGGGAAAAGGAUUUAUUCGCUUCAGGAUGGACUCGCGUCCAAUUAGCUAGUUGGUGAGGUAACGGCCCACCAAGGCGACGAUUGGUAGCCGGACUGAGGGGUUGAACGGCCACAUUGGGACUGAGACACGGCCCAGACUCCUACGGGAGGCAGCAGUGGGGGAUAUUGCACAAUGGGGGAAACCCUGAUGCAGCGACGCCGCGUGGAGGAAGAAGGUUUUCGGAUUGUAAACUCCUGUCGUUAGGGACGAUAAUGACGGUACCUAACAAGAAAGCACCGGCUAACUACGUG